This 513-nucleotide ribosomal RNA is filed under the name uncultured bacterium. Its description in RNAcentral is "partial 16S ribosomal RNA". It matches the Rfam family "Bacterial small subunit ribosomal RNA", at positions 28 to 523 of the family's 1533-position model. The record is from RNAcentral.
GAUGAACGCUGGCGGCGUGCCUAAUACAUGCAAGUCGGACGCGCAGCGAAAGGUGCUUGCACCUUUCAAGCGAGUGGCGAACGGGUGAGUAACACGUGGAUAACCUGCCUCAAGGCUGGGGAUAACAUUUGGAAACAGAUGCUAAUACCAAAUAAAACUUAGUAUCGCAUGAUACAAAGUUAAAAGGCGCUACGGCGUCACCUAGCGAUGGAUCCGCGGUGCAUUCGUUAGUUGGUGGGGUAAAGGCUUACCAAGACGAUGAUUCAUAGCCGGGUUGAGAGACUGACGGGCCACACUGGGACAGAGACACGGCCCAAACUCCGACGGGAGGCUGCAGUAGGGAAUCUUCCACAAUGGGCGCAAGCCUGAUGGGGCAACGCCGCGUGUGGGAUGAAGGCUUUCGGGUCGUAAAGCACUGUUGUAUGGGAAGAAAUGCUAAAAUAGGGAAUGAUUUUAGUUUGACGGUACCAUACCAGAAAGGGACGGCUAAAUACGUGCCAGCAGCCGCGGUAA